Acanthosepion pharaonis is the source of this 113-nucleotide non-coding RNA. The record is from the annotation of a GenBank genome assembly. NCBI's taxonomy places the organism in Eukaryota, Metazoa, Mollusca, Cephalopoda, Sepiida, Sepiidae.
UACGGCUGUAUCACAUUGAAACACCGGUUCUCAUACGAUCACCGAAGUUAAGCAACGUCACGCCUGUUCAGUACCUAGAUGGGUGACCGCUUGAGGAUAUCAGGUGCUGUAAG